AUGGUCCUUAGAGAUAUUAGGGAUAUGUUACAAUCCAUGGGAAAGGAUAUUAGAAACUAUGGACUUCCGGAUCUGGUUGAGACCAAUGGUUCUUAUGACUCUGAGUACAAAGAAGUGACAGAGGAGAGGCAAGUCACAGUGGACAAAGAACAUCUAGAUCUAUUUAACAGUUUGAACAAUGAGCAGUUAGCUGGUUUUAAUGAUAUAAUGGAUCAUGUGAUGAACCAAAAAAGCCAGAUAUUCUUUGUUGAUGGUCCAGGAGGCACUGGGAAGACAUACUUGUACAAGGCCUUGCUUGCAAAGGUGCGUUCCGUGGGCCAAAUAGCGAUCGCAACUGCUACAUCAGGUAUAGCGGCGUCGAUAAUGCCAGGAGGACGGACUGCACACUCCAGGUUCAAAAUUCCAAUUAAGCUCACUAACAACAGCAUGUGUAGUUUUACAAAGCAGAGUGGUACAGCAGAGUUGCUUAAACAGGCGUCCUUGAUAAUUUGGGACGAAGUCUCUAUGACAAAACGUCAAGCAGUUGAGACGCUUGAUAGAUCGCUCCAGGAUAUAAUGGAGUGUCCUUUGCCAUUGGGGGAAAGGUUGUCGUCUUUGGUGGGGAUUUUCGGCAAGUCCUUCCUGUUGUCACACAUGGGACAAGAGCACAGAUCACGGAUGCUACACUCCUGA
Molecule: ribosomal RNA, 672 nt
Filed under: Triticum aestivum (bread wheat)
Lineage: Eukaryota; Viridiplantae; Streptophyta; Magnoliopsida; Poales; Poaceae
Description: partial small subunit ribosomal RNA
Source: RNAcentral